AGCGAACGCUGGCGGCAGGCCUAACACAUGCAAGUCGGACGAACUCUUCGGAGUUAGUGGCGGACGGGUGAGUAACACGUGGGAACGUGCCUUUAGGUUCGGAAUAACUCAGGGAAACUUGUGCUAAUACCGAAUGUGCCCUUCGGGGGAAAGAUUUAUCGCCUUUAGAGCGGCCCGCGUCUGGUUAGCUAGUUGGUGAGGUAAUGGCUCACCAAGGCGACGAUCAGUAGCUGGUCUGAGAGGAUGAUCAGCCACAUUGGGACUGAGACACGGCCCAAACUCCUACGGGAGGCAGCAGUGGGGAAUCUUGCGCAAUGGGCGAAAGCCUGACGCAGCCAUGCCGCGUGAAUGAUGAAGGUCUUAGGAUUGUAAAAUUCUUUCACCGGGGACGAUAAUGACGGUACCCGGAGAAGAAGCCCCGGCUAACUUCGUGCCAGCCGCCGCAGUAA
RNAcentral lists this ribosomal RNA (449 nucleotides) under uncultured bacterium. RNAcentral's name for it is "partial 16S ribosomal RNA". It matches the Rfam family "Bacterial small subunit ribosomal RNA", at positions 29 to 523 of the family's 1533-position model. The record is from RNAcentral.